This 382-nucleotide long non-coding RNA is filed under the name Rattus norvegicus (Norway rat). RNAcentral's name for it is "long non-coding RNA NONRATT024256". The record is from RNAcentral. Lineage: Eukaryota; Metazoa; Chordata; Mammalia; Rodentia; Muridae.
GGAACCCGAACCCGGAUCCGGGCGAGUAGCCGACUUCUUCUCCCCGCCUAGGGAUACCCACAGAGCGGCCGGGAGGGAACGCUGCUCCUGGAGUGGUGGGCAGCUGUUGGGAGCUGCUCAGGCUGGAGCCACGGGAUUUUAAAGGACCUGUCUCUGUCAUUUUUACUUUUAGGAUUUUGGCCAAAUUGGGCGAGGGUACAAUAUUACCACUUACCCCUUCUCACCGAGGAAGAGCGGGAGAAAGGGUAUGGCACAGUCACAAGGCUGGGUGCGAAGAUGCUUCAAGGCCUUUUGCAAAGGCUUCUUUGUGGCGGUGCCUGUGGCAGUCACUUUCUUGGAUCGGGUGGUCUGUGUGGCUCGAGUGGAGGGAUCGUCGAUGCAG